GAUGAACGCUGGCGAGAUGCCUUACACAUGCAAGUCAUACGGGAAUUUUUAAUUCAAGUGGCGGACGGGUGAGUAACACGUAAGAAUUUGCCUUUAGGAGGGGGACAACAACUGGAAACGGUUGCUAAUACCCCAUAUGCUUUCGAGUGAAAUGGAUUUUUCCGCCUAAAGAGAAGCUUGCGGCUGAUUAGCUUGUUGGUGAGGUAAUGGCUCACCAAGGCGACGAUCAGUAUCUGGUUUGAGAGGAUGAUCAGACACACUGGAACUGAGACACGGUCCAGACUCCUACGGGAGGCAGCAGUGGGGAAUUUUCCGCAAUGGGCGAAAGCCUGACGGAGCAAUACCGCGUGAGGGAAGAAUGCCUAUGGGUUGUAAACCUCUUUUUUCAGGGAGGAAUAAAAUGACGUGUACCUGAAGAAUAAGCAUCGGCUAACUCCGUG
RNAcentral lists this ribosomal RNA (440 nucleotides) under uncultured bacterium. Its description in RNAcentral is "bacterial SSU rRNA". It matches the Rfam family "Bacterial small subunit ribosomal RNA", at positions 28 to 507 of the family's 1533-position model. The record is from RNAcentral.